CCUACGGGAGGCUGCAGUGAGGAAUAUUGGUCAAUGGUCGGGAGACUGAACCAGCCAAGUCGCGUGAAGGAUGACUGCCCUAAGGGUCGUAAACCUCUUUUAUCAGGGAAUAAAGUGUUGGACGCGUCCCCUUUUGUAUGUACCUUAUGAAUAAGGAUCGGCUAACUCCGUGCCAGCAGCCGCGGUAAUACGGAGGAUUCGAGCGUUAUCCGGAUUUAUUGGGUUUAAAGGGUGCGCAGGGGGUUUGUUAAGUCAGUUGUUAAAGCUCGGGGCUCAACCCGAACACUGCGGUUGAUACUGGCAGUCUUGAGUACAGUAGAAGUAGGCGGAAUGCGGGGUGUAGCGGUGAAAUGCUUAGAUAUCGCGAAGAACUCCGAUUGCGAAGGCAGCAUGCUGGAUUCACACUGACGCUGAUGCACGAAAGCGUGGGUAUCGAACAGGAUUAGAUACCCUUGUAGUC
Molecule: ribosomal RNA, 460 nt
Filed under: uncultured bacterium
Lineage: Bacteria
Description: partial 16S ribosomal RNA
Rfam family: Bacterial small subunit ribosomal RNA
Source: RNAcentral